AUAAUACUCCAUAGGUCACGAGAUCUGGAAAGACUUGUGGCUCAAAGUUCCGGCGCUUUAGGAUUGGUCUGCGGCCUAUCAGGUAGUAGUGGGUGUAACGGACCCACUAGCCGAUGACGGGUAUGGGCCUUGAGAGAGGGAGCCCAGAGAUGGAUUCUGAGACACGAAUCCAGGCCCUACGGGGCGCAGCAGUCGCGAAAACUUCACAAUGGAGGCAACUCCGAUGAGGGAAUUCCUAGUGCCAAUGCAUUUUGUGUUGGCUUUUCUUCAGCGUAGAUAACUGUUGGAAUAAGGGCUGGGUAAGACGGGUGCCAGCCGCCGCGGUAAUACCCGCAGCCCAAGUGGUGGUCGAUAUUAUUGAGUCUAAAACGUUCGUAGCCGGUUCAAUAAAUCUCUGGGUAAAUCGGAGGGCUUAACCUUCCGAAUUCCGGAGAGACUGUUGAACUUGGGACCGGGAGAGGCAAGAGGUACUUCUGGGGUAGGGGUAAAAUCCUGUAAUCCUAGAAGGACCACCGGUGGCGAAGGCGUCUUGCUAGAACGGAUCCGACGGUGAGGGACGAAGCCCUGGGUCGCAAACGGGAUUAGAUACCCCGGUAGUCCAGGGUGUAACGCUGCAGACUUGGUGU
Molecule: ribosomal RNA, 626 nt
Filed under: uncultured archaeon
Lineage: Archaea
Description: bacterial SSU rRNA
Rfam family: Archaeal small subunit ribosomal RNA
Source: RNAcentral